Molecule: long non-coding RNA, 470 nt
Organism: Pyrgilauda ruficollis (rufous-necked snowfinch)
Lineage: Eukaryota; Metazoa; Chordata; Aves; Passeriformes; Passeridae
Exons: 3
Source: RefSeq, a predicted model, not a curated record
AGCAGAUGCACUUGUGUCUCAGGAUCACAGCCCUGAGCUCUUGUAGGUACGAGUCUGUCUCCCUCUCCCCCUUUCUCUCGCACUCACGGUCCGACCAGGAGCUUUGCUCUCAGCCACUGCUCUGAAGACAACUGUCCUUUUGGAAGAGCCAUGAUCGCAAUGACUCUGGAUUUCAGCAGCUGAAAUCACAACAGUACAAGAAGGAUCAAGGAGUACUUGGACUUUUAUAGAUGCCAUUGAACAAAACCAAACCCACAGCCUGGGGAGGAAGAAAAAGGAGAACUGCAAAUGUCCAGCACCUCCAGGGUCUGUAUCUUGUUCAACUCCAGCCUGCUGACACACUGAUGAACAGCAUCUGCCAAUUCAAAGCAGCUCCGACCAGACUGACUUGAUGCAAUCUGGCAACCUUAAUCACCUUAAGCUGUCCUCUGGAAUACCUGUUCUGCAUCUCAAAGUGCCUUUUCCACACA